AGCAGUCUUCGACCGGAAGUUAGGUCGGAGCUUGUAGCAGGGAGGAAUUACAUCGAACAGCACGUGGGAAGUUGUUACUGCAAGUGUCAACAUUAAUUGCAGAAUGAAAUUAAGUGCAAAUUAAGGCUCCCCUGGAUACUUCACAUUUAGAGAGAAUAAAGAAGAGGGAUGUGUUUGGACCACACAGUGUUCAGGGACAUGUGGAUGGAUGUAAUGAUGGACAUCCGCUCGUGGACAGAAGUAUAACCCCUGCUGGACAUGGUGCCAGGGCUCGGGGGGGACCUGAAUCGUCCCCAUCCCUUCAUUCACACAACACUCACUCAUAUCGCGGAGAUCUGGCUGGGAUCGAACCAGCAACCUCUGAACCGUGAGGCAGUGCUCUUACCUGUGAGCCACAGAUCUCUUGUCUGAACAUGUGAAGGAACUUAUAUUUCACUGUUCACCUGCAUGUGCUUUUAUAAUAAAACAGUUAAAGCGUGAA
Long non-coding RNA from Cyprinus carpio (common carp), 481 nucleotides. RefSeq lists it as uncharacterized. Lineage: Eukaryota; Metazoa; Chordata; Actinopteri; Cypriniformes; Cyprinidae. The record is from RefSeq and is a predicted model, not a curated record. The transcript has 4 exons.